AUUGAACGCUGGCGGAAUGCUUUACACAUGCAAGUCGAGCGGCAGCGCGGGGCAACCUGGCGGCGAGCGGCGAACGGGUGAGUAAUGCAUCGGAACAUGUCCAUGUCGUGGGGGAUAGCCCGGCGAAAGCCGGAUUAAUACCGCAUACGCCCGAGAGGGGAAAGCAGGGGACCGCAAGGCCUUGCGCGAUUGGGUUGGCCGAUGUCCGAUUAGCUUGUUGGUGAGGUAAAGGCUUACCAAGGCGAUGAUCGGUAGCUGGUCUGAGAGGAUGAUCAGCCACACUGGGACUGAGACACGGCCCAGACUCCUACGGGAGGCAGCAGUGGGGAAUUUUGGACAAUGGGGGCAACCCUGAUCCAGCCAUUCCGCGUGAGUGAAGAAGGCCUUCGGGUUGUAAGACGUCUUUUGUUCCGGUAGCGAAACGGG
RNAcentral lists this ribosomal RNA (426 nucleotides) under uncultured bacterium. Its description in RNAcentral is "bacterial SSU rRNA". It matches the Rfam family "Bacterial small subunit ribosomal RNA", at positions 28 to 456 of the family's 1533-position model. The record is from RNAcentral.